This 468-nucleotide ribosomal RNA is filed under the name uncultured bacterium. RNAcentral describes it as "partial 16S ribosomal RNA". It matches the Rfam family "Bacterial small subunit ribosomal RNA", at positions 28 to 507 of the family's 1533-position model. The record is from RNAcentral.
GACGAACGCUGGCGGCGUGCUUAACACAUGCAAGUCGAACGGAAAGACCCUUCUUUUUUGGUUUGCUCGAGUUGCGAACGGGUGAGUAACACGUGAGUAACCUGCCCUUGACUUUGGGAUAACUUCAGGAAACUGGGGCUAAUACCGGAUAGGAGCUCCUGCUGCAUGGUGGGUGUUGGAAAGUUUCGGCGGUUGGGGAUGGACUCGCGGCUUAUCAGCUUGUUGGUGGGGUAGUGGCUUACCAAGGCUUUGACGGGUAGCCGGCCUGAGAGGGUGACCGGCCACAUUGGGACUGAGAUACGGCCCAGACUACUACGGGAGGCAGCAGUGGGGAAUAUUGCACAAUGGGCGGAAGCCUGAUGCAGCAACGCCGCGUGCGGGAUGACGGCCUUCGGGUUGUAAACCGCUUUCGCCUGUGACGAAGCGUGAGUGACGGUAAUGGGUAAAGAAGCACCGGCUAACUACGUG